RNAcentral lists this long non-coding RNA (349 nucleotides) under Monodelphis domestica (gray short-tailed opossum). RNAcentral's name for it is "lncRNA (ENSMODG00000044639.1)". Lineage: Eukaryota; Metazoa; Chordata; Mammalia; Didelphimorphia; Didelphidae. The record is from RNAcentral.
AAGGAGCAACGUCGAGUCUGAUGAAGGGAGAAGACUUGGAAGCUAGCAUUUCUAAUGGAAUAGUGAAUAACAGUGGUGAUGAUGGACAUCCAUUUUUCACCCCUGAGCUGAUUGGAAAGGCUUCUAGUUUAUAUUCAUUACAGGUAAUGCUUGUUGAUAGUUUUAAAUAAAUACUACUUAUCAUUUAAGGAAAGCUCCAUUUGUUUUUAAUAGGAAUGAGUAUUGUAUAUUGUCAAAAACUUUUCCACAUCUAUUGAGAUAAUCACAUAAUUUUUGUCCUUUUUGUUAUUGGUAUGGUCACUUACGCUGAUAGUUUUCCUAACAUUGAACCAACCCUGCAUUCCUAGUA